AGCUUGCUCUGCGGAUCAGUGGCGAACGGGUGAGUAACACGUGGGCAACCUGCCCCUGACUCUGGGAUAAGCGCUGGAAACGGCGUCUAAUACUGGAUAUGAGCUGCGAUCGCAUGGUCAGCAGUUGGAAAGAUUUUUCGGUCUGGGAUGGGCUCACGGCCUAUCAGCUUGUUGGUGAGGUAAUGGCUCACCAAGGCGUCGACGGGUAGCCGGCCUGAGAGGGUGACCGGCCACACUGGGACUGAGACACGGCCCAAACUCC
This 262-nucleotide ribosomal RNA is filed under the name uncultured Microbacterium sp. Its description in RNAcentral is "partial 16S ribosomal RNA". It matches the Rfam family "Bacterial small subunit ribosomal RNA", at positions 77 to 339 of the family's 1533-position model. The record is from RNAcentral. Lineage: Bacteria; Bacillati; Actinomycetota; Actinomycetes; Micrococcales; Microbacteriaceae.